RNAcentral lists this transfer RNA (76 nucleotides) under Rhodocyclaceae bacterium. RNAcentral's name for it is "tRNA-Thr". It matches the Rfam family "tRNA". From Rfam's summary of the family: Transfer RNA (tRNA) molecules are approximately 80 nucleotides in length. Lineage: Bacteria; Pseudomonadati; Pseudomonadota; Betaproteobacteria; Rhodocyclales; Rhodocyclaceae. The record is from RNAcentral.
GCUGCUGUAGCUCAGAUGGUAGAGCAACUGAUUCGUAAUCAGUAGGUCACCAGUUCGAUUCCGGUCAGCAGCACCA